CACGUAGGGGGCGAGCGUUGUCCGGAUUUAUUGGGCGUAAAGAGCUCGUAGGCGGCUCAGUAAGUCGGGUGUGAAAACUCCAGGCUCAACCUGGAGACGCCACCCGAUACUGCUGUGGCUAGAGUCCGGUAGGGGAGCAUGGAAUUCCUGGUGUAGCGGUGAAAUGCGCAGAUAUCAGGAGGAACACCGGUGGCGAAGGCGGGUCUCUGGGCCGUUACUGACGCUGAGGAGCGAAAGCGUGGGGAGCGAACAGG
This 254-nucleotide ribosomal RNA is filed under the name uncultured bacterium. RNAcentral's name for it is "partial 16S ribosomal RNA". It matches the Rfam family "Bacterial small subunit ribosomal RNA", at positions 524 to 776 of the family's 1533-position model. The record is from RNAcentral.